Molecule: unclassified non-coding RNA, 268 nt
Filed under: Hevea brasiliensis (rubber tree)
Lineage: Eukaryota; Viridiplantae; Streptophyta; Magnoliopsida; Malpighiales; Euphorbiaceae
Source: RNAcentral
UUCUCUCUCUCUCUCUCUCAAUUCUACUGAUUCUUUAUUCUCUGUUAUUUUCGUUCUUAUAUUUCUAUGACUGGAAAAACACGGAAAAAUGGUAUCAGAGCUUGUUGAUUCCUUGGCCAUGGAGGAAGGUAUUCAUGAAUGGGAAAGGAAGUUGACAACAAUGAUGCAAGAAUUACAGCAAAGGCAGGAGGCUUUGGGAAAAGGAAGCAGAGCAACGACGAAGAAAUUAAAACCUUGCUUACUAGUUUAAGUUUGAGGAAUAUGGAGA